CUGGGCAUGCGCACGUUGGAGUCAAGGUUCGCGGCUGCGUACCCUGUGGCGGGAAACGCUGUUUGAAGCUGCCUCUCACUGUGCAACCCAGGCUGCCCUUGAACUCAUGGUGAUCCCCUCCUGCCUCAGCCUCCCAAGUGCUAAGAUUACAGGUAUGCCUGCCUUGCCUUUUGAAGAACAUGCUGGCAGCUGAGUGGAGAUUGGGUUGUAGCAGGAAUAGGAGUAAAGGCGGCUCCUGGCUUGGGGUGAUCAGUGGGCCAGAUGGGAAAGGCUGAGGGGCAAGCAGGCUUGGGGUGCCACUCUGAAGGCAGAGGCCUGAGCCCCCCAGAGGCCUGCUCUUGCCUUAAGUCUGGUCCCUCUUUCCUACACUUCCUCCACCCAGGUCUCUUACACCCCUUAGAGAUCAUCCUUCUCCACUCCUGGCCUUUGCUGACCUUGGGGAGCUGUGAUAAUUCAGUCUGGUGUGGAAGGGACAAGAGAUCUCACCUCAGGGGUGCUCUGAGGUGUUAGUCAGUGCUGGUCUUUGGAAGCCAGAGCAGAACCUGGGCACUGAGGGACAUCUCAGCAAAGUUGGUGAUGCUCGCUGGGAAUCUGAACUCACCUGUGGUCUAGGCACCGUGCUGGGUGAUGCUGGGGCCCCUGCUUGGGUGAGACCCUGAUCCUGUUUUCAAGAGCUCCCAGGCUGAGAUGGUCCAGCUUGGGAUUCACAUGUGUGAUGACAGAUGUCAUGUUGUGGGAGGCACUGUGGGAGCCCAGGGGUGGCCAGCCUGGAGGAGCUGAGCUUGAGCUGAGACUCAGGAAGUUCAGGGUUGAGCCCCUGAGAGAGGGGAUUUAUCCAGCUCAUGCUUCCAGAGAUCAGCUGGGGGCCAGAGAAGAGUCAGGCCCCUCCCUUCCCUCUGGAGGCCCCGUCUGGUGAGGGAGGCAGACAGGCAGCCAGUCCACAGGCAGCGCAGUCAGAGAGGCCCAGAGAAGGAAGCCCAAGGCCAGAGUGGGAGAGUACACAGGUGUCUGUAGGAUGCACGUGGGUAGUUUCACUGUGAUCAUUUAAUUGUGCCUGUUGAGCCCCUCUGUCCCAGCGGGUUCUCCUAGGUACAGGAGCUGUCUCAGGAAGCCAGAGACAAAUCCCUGCUGUCACAGAGCUCCUGUCCUAGUAGUGGAGACAAAUGGUGAGGAAGAUAAGUGAGCGGUGCUCCUUGGGCCUGAGUGGGUUGGAAUUCUGGGAGCUUGUUCUUUUUUUUUUGGUACCAGGGAUCGAACUUAGGAUCUUGCGCUUUCGAGGCAGGUGCCGGAACCACUGAGCUAAAUCCCUGGCCUGGUCUGACCUGUUUGUACAGAAUCCCUCUGGCUGCCAUAGGUGAGGACAGGGAAGACACUGAUCUCUCCAGCCCUCUCUGCACCUGGCCUGGCAGAGGCUCCCUGGGACCUCAGGGGGCCGCCCUGCGCUGAGCUCACUGCCCAGCAGGGGGAGACCACGAGCAGCCUCAGGAGGACCUGGGUAGCCGCAGGGCUGAGCCACGGAAUGGGUGGGAUGUGUGAGGGCGAGAGAGAAAUUGGGGUGACUCAAGGGUGUUGGGGUUGCGAAAUUAUGGGAUGUGAGGAGCGGUUGGGGAGCUCAGCUUUGGGUGUGAGAUGCUUGAAGGGACGUACUCGGUGGGGAUGUGGCGCCGUGGCUCUUCCCCCUGGGGGAGGCGGGAGAAGCGGGCAGUGGGCAGUCGGCAGUCGGUGUGCAGGGCUGGCCUGCAUGUGGGAGCCCUGGGCUCCAUACCUGUGCGGGCACGGGCUGGGCAACACUGUCAGAUUGGUGAGAUGGGCCAGGGCAUCGUGAGGUCACUGAAAACUAGCACACGAGCCCAGGCGCCUGUUAUUCAGUACUGGGGCCGCUGGGCAGGUGCUACUGAAGGGCCCCAAGAGGCCGAGCAGGAGGCAGGCCUGGGGCAUGCAUGCAGGGCCUGUCCUUCCGCACGGUGGGGAACUGCGCAGGCGCAAGGAACAGCGGCCCACGGAGGGUUCUGAGAUGCGGCCGGG
Long non-coding RNA from Heterocephalus glaber (naked mole-rat), 2025 nucleotides. Lineage: Eukaryota; Metazoa; Chordata; Mammalia; Rodentia; Bathyergidae. The record is from Ensembl.